CUCGGUUCAGGGUGAGCAAAGUCUUCCUCAUCUUUCUGCUGUGACGAAUGGGAACGUCUGACAUCAGCUCCACACCUCCUGCUACGACGACGUCACACUGUCCAGCUGCUAUCAAACCUAUGCCUGUGGUCAUAGCCUGGUUUGAAGAAAUGCAAGCCAUGGUGACUGUAUGGGCUGGAGUUUUGUCAGAGAAGCCAGCACCCAAAGCAGCCUCUCUGGCAACAUUGCUUGUUUUCACUUCCUGGAUAACUGUGCCAUACACAAUGUAAUCAACAACAUCCCUUGGGACACUGGUUCUGUUCAGCAACCCCUGCAGUGCUGCUCGGGCUAAGUCAUGGGGCAUGAGAUCUGCAUAGGAGGUGCCAGACUGCAAGAACGGAAUACGGACGCCCUCCACCACAACAAUGUUC
This 410-nucleotide long non-coding RNA is filed under the name Gallus gallus (chicken). Lineage: Eukaryota; Metazoa; Chordata; Aves; Galliformes; Phasianidae. The record is from RNAcentral.